This is a transfer RNA of Fusarium oxysporum, 89 nucleotides long. It matches the Rfam family "tRNA". From Rfam's summary of the family: Transfer RNA (tRNA) molecules are approximately 80 nucleotides in length. Their secondary structure includes four short double-helical elements and three loops (D, anti-codon, and T loops). The record is from Rfam. Lineage: Eukaryota; Fungi; Ascomycota; Sordariomycetes; Hypocreales; Nectriaceae.
GGGGCGCUGGCGCAACGGUAGCGCGUCAGAUUCCAGUUAUUAAGCAUGGAGAUUCCUGAAGGUUAUCGGUUCAAAUCCGGUGUGCCUCA